GAUUACUGAAGGGUUAUAUUUGUACAUUUAUAAAAUAAUAUAAAUGAUCAGGGGAUAAAACAACAUGAUAAAACAACAUAUAGCUGUGGAUUCAUUGUUCUAAAAUGUUCUUAAUAAGAAAUAAAUUGUUUAAAAAUAAUAAUGUGAAAUAUUCACAUGUUAUUGGUUUAGCCAAUCAGUGAUGUGUGGGAGGGAUUUGCGCUUGCUGACGCAGUGGGAAGAGAUCGCCAGACUGUGGAGGAAGAGAGAGGGUGAGAUCGCUAGAUUUGAUGAUUUAAACUGUGAAAUCAGAUUAUAACUUUGAAAUUAGUUCGAGAAACUUACAAAAAGCUUUCAUAGAGAAGUAUUUGAAGAGGAUUCAGUCAUUAAAUUGUUCCUGUGACGAUCGAUGGGAAAAUUGCAUCAUUGUGUUGUUGAGGAGUGAAUAUAUGGACAUGGUCAGGUUUUUUUUCUUUGGUGUUUUUGAUUGAAGACUGAUUCACAUUGAUGGCGAGCCAACCUAUUCGGACACUAGAAAAGGAAACUGGAAAUCCACCCUACUGAACCAGGAGAGUACUUUAAUACUUAUUAUUUUUUUCAGCUCAAGGUAAAAGACAGUUUUUUUUCCGUUUCUGGAUAGAGACUGUUCGUGGUUUUUUUUUCUGAGAACUGAUUAAAAAAAGGAAACAAAAAAAAAAAAACUAAUACCAGCGCACGGACACUUGGAAAUCAAACUAUUUUCCUUUUGAAGUGAAAUGAGAAAUACUGAGUUUGUUGAUUCUGAACAAGUGGUUUUCUUUACAUUUUCAAUGUAAUUUCAAUUGAACUUUAUUUUGUUUUAUUGUGUUUUGAUUGUUUAUCGUAUUUUGUUAAUUUUAUUUUGGGGAAAGAUCUGCAGAAAAUUAUAUCUAUAAACAUUUCAAAUACUUACCUA
Molecule: long non-coding RNA, 913 nt
Organism: Danio aesculapii
Lineage: Eukaryota; Metazoa; Chordata; Actinopteri; Cypriniformes; Danionidae
Exons: 2
Source: RefSeq, a predicted model, not a curated record